GCAGCGGCCUAUAAUAAUCGUCUCCUUUGAUAAGGACAGCUCAGGGGUACAUUCUUAGCUGACAAUAAUAGAGACACCCUCCACUUUAGUCGCUGAGAUAUUUAUUCAAAAAUUUAAAAUGUAACAUGACAAUUAUUAAUGAGUUGUCCAAAAUAGAAAUGACAUAACUAAUUUGAUGCAGCCGCGGUGGGGGAAAAGUUCUU
RNAcentral lists this unclassified non-coding RNA (203 nucleotides) under Hevea brasiliensis (rubber tree). The record is from RNAcentral. Lineage: Eukaryota; Viridiplantae; Streptophyta; Magnoliopsida; Malpighiales; Euphorbiaceae.